AAGGAAGACAUAAUGGCUAUGGGGCUGGCUUGAAAUCAGUUUUAGGGGGUUCAAUUCCUUCCUUCCUUG
Non-coding RNA from Myotis brandtii (Brandt's bat), 69 nucleotides. Lineage: Eukaryota; Metazoa; Chordata; Mammalia; Chiroptera; Vespertilionidae. The record is from Rfam.